Anolis sagrei ordinatus is the source of this 799-nucleotide non-coding RNA. The record is from RefSeq and is a predicted model, not a curated record. Lineage: Eukaryota; Metazoa; Chordata; Lepidosauria; Squamata; Anolidae.
UUUAUUAUUUUUAGUGGUUCAGGAACUGCAAGAGUUUCUCCCUAUUGAUUGUGGCCAUUUAAAAUCCAACUUGAACAAGUGCACAGAACUUUACAAGUAAUUCCAUCAAGAUACUGAAACACUGAUGGAAGAAUCUGAUCUGUGACGUAGAAACAGGAAAAAGAUUGCGCCUGCAGAAAAACCAUCAAAUGCACUGGAAGCAUAUCUUGUCUGUGAUGGAUAGUUUUUUUCUGAAUGUGAAGAAACUUCUUCAGAUUUCUGCAACAUUGCCAGUGUCAACAGCUACAAAUGAAAGGUUGCUGCUCCUGUUCGUGUGUGCUUUCGACUCAGCUUGGAUUCUCGUGAGUGUGGAUUUCCCCCUUCCUUGACCUUGGACCGGCUUGACUAUGAUGCUGCUUCUGUGGACUUUGGAACUUCGCUACUUCGGAUUCUGCUUGUUACAACCCUGGACUUCGCUCGACUCAGCUUGGAUUCUCGUGAGUGUGGAUUUCCCCCUUCCUUGACCUUGGACUGGCUUGACUACGAUGCUGCUUCUGUGGACUUUGGAACUUUGCUACUUCGGAUUCUGCUUGCUACGACCCUGGACUUCUCUGUUUUGUUAACCAUCUGCAUGCUGUGCCGUUUUGUGUGACUUUUGGAAGUACUUUGUUUAACCUAGUUCUUUUCUCUGGAUGAUCUGGAUUAUACUUUGGUUAACCUUUUUGAAGCAGGACUAGUUUUACCUUUGAGUUUUGACCAGAGGCAUUGAGUUAAGUGUAUUUGAGUCUUUUUCCAUUGUUUAAUAAACUCUGUUUUGGAA